Molecule: ribosomal RNA, 492 nt
Filed under: Triticum aestivum (bread wheat)
Lineage: Eukaryota; Viridiplantae; Streptophyta; Magnoliopsida; Poales; Poaceae
Description: partial small subunit ribosomal RNA
Source: RNAcentral
AUGUGUGUCCCCGACCUCAGUAUUCUUAGGAGUGCUGUGCUAGGAGACAAAUCUUAUAAUUUGGGAGCCAUUGUUGCACGUAGGUUGCAUCAUAAUAGAUUUAAUGGAGAUUUCUUUGGCGGAAUUUAUGCAACCCGCUUAGCUGAUUUUCUUGGUGUAACCAUACGUAAUGAUGAUAUUGAAUUGCCUCCUACUUAUUUAGACUUUAAUGCUAUGGUUCACCAUCAGUUUGUUGAGAGGAAUGAACCGCCUCUCCAGUAUCGCUUAAUCUUUGACAGACGUCGUGCUGUCCGUAUUACUCUCCCUGCUCCUGCCUUCUUUGAUUAUCAGGCAAAAGGAAGACAUUUUAUUACUAGAGAGGAGGUAGAUGAGUACGAGAGGAGGGCGGAGGCAGCUCGCCGCCACGCUGCAGCCCAGGAGGCAAUAGCCGCUGCAUCUCAGUACGACCCCGGUUAUAACUUUGGAUAUCCGCCAGGCCACCCGUGGCAAUAA